This is a small nuclear RNA of Nomascus leucogenys (northern white-cheeked gibbon), 103 nucleotides long. Lineage: Eukaryota; Metazoa; Chordata; Mammalia; Primates; Hylobatidae. The record is from Ensembl.
GUGCUUGCUUCAGCAGCACAUAUACUAAAAUUGAAAUGAUAGAGAGAAGAUUAGCAUAGUCCCUGAGCAAGGAUGACAUGCAAAUGAAAAUUUAAAAAUAAAA